UACGAAGGGUGCAAGCGUUAUCCGGAUUCACUGGGUUUAAAGGGUGCGUAGGUGGGUUGAUAAGUCAGUGGUGAAAUCCCCGAGCUUAACCCGGAAACUGCCAUUGAUACUAUUUGUCUUGAAUACUUUGGAGGUAAGCGGAAUAUGUCAUGUAGCGGUGAAAUGCUUAGAUAUGACAUAGAACACCAAUUGCGCAGGCAGCUUACUACACAGUAAUUGACACUGAGGCACGAAAGCGUGGGGAUCAAACAGG
Molecule: ribosomal RNA, 253 nt
Filed under: uncultured bacterium
Lineage: Bacteria
Description: partial 16S ribosomal RNA
Rfam family: Bacterial small subunit ribosomal RNA
Source: RNAcentral